RNAcentral lists this ribosomal RNA (1093 nucleotides) under Clostridium perfringens. RNAcentral describes it as "partial 23S ribosomal RNA". It matches the Rfam family "Bacterial large subunit ribosomal RNA", at positions 424 to 1520 of the family's 2925-position model. Lineage: Bacteria; Bacillati; Bacillota; Clostridia; Eubacteriales; Clostridiaceae. The record is from RNAcentral.
ACGUGAAACCUUGUGGGAAGCAGGGAGGACCACCUCCCAAGGCUAAAUACUACCUGAUGACCGAUAGUGAAGCAGUACCGUGAGGGAAAGGUGAAAAGAACCCCGGGAGGGGAGUGAAAUAGAACCUGAAACCGUGUGCCUACAACCGCUCAGAGCCCCUUAUGAGGGUGAUGAGGUGCUUUUUGUAGAACGAGCCAACGAGUUACGGUAUGUAGCAAGGUUAAGUACUUAAGGUACGGAGCCGAAGGGAAACCGAGUCUGAAUAGGGCGACUAGUUGCAUGCCGUAGACCCGAAACCGGGUGACCUAUCCAUGGCCAGGUUGAAGCGAGGGUAAAACCUCGUGGAGGACCGAACCACGUUGCUGUUGAAAAAGCAUGGGAUGAGCUGUGGAUAGCGGAGAAAUUCCAAUCGAACCCGGAGAUAGCUGGUUCUCUCCGAAAUAGCUUUAGGGCUAGCGUCGAGUAUGAGUAGUGGAGGUAGAGCACUGAAUGGGCUAGGGGGCAUAGCGCUUACCGAACCUUAUCAAACUCCGAAUGCCACAUACUUUGAGCUCGGCAGUCAGACUACGAAUGAUAAGAUCCGUGGUCAAAAGGGAAACAGCCCAGAUCGUCAGCUAAGGUCCCAAAGUGUAAGUUAAGUGGGAAAGGAUGUGAGAUUUCUAAGACAACUAGGAUGUUGGCUUAGAAGCAGCCAUUCAUUAAAAGAGUGCGUAAUAGCUCACUAGUCGAGAGAUCUUGCGCCGAAAAUGUAACGGGGCUAAACUUACCACCGAAGCUACGGGCUUGAACUUAGUUCAAGCGGUAGGAGAGCGUCGUAACCGGGCUGAAGUCGUACCGUAAGGAGCGGUGGACUGGUUACGAGUGAGAAUGUUGGCAUCAGUAGCGAGAUGUGGGUGAGAAUCCCACAGGCCGAAAACCUAAGGUUUCCUCAGGAAGGUUCGUCCGCUGAGGGUUAGUCGGGACCUAAGCCGAGGCCGAAAGGCGUAGGUGAUGGACAACUGGUUGAUAUUCCAGUACCACUACCAUCGUUAUUAUCGAUGGCGUGACGCAGGAGGAUAGUGUGUGCUAGCUAUUGGAUGCUAGUCUAAGCGUU